AUGUGAACCAGCAUCUUCCAGCCAUCCUCGUGGAGAGCUGUCACCUACGGGAGGCAAGCAAUCCACGUCAUUUACUGUGAACAAAUUAGAGUGUUCAAAGCAGGCUUACGCCACUGAAUACAUUAGCAUGGAAUAAUCCUAUAGGACUUUGGUGAUUCUACUGUUGGUUACGCACCAGAGUAAUGAUUAAUAGGGAUAGUUGGGGGUAUUCGUAUUCAAUUGUCAGAGGUGAAAUUCUUGGAUUUAUGGAAGACGAACAACUGCGAAAGCAUUUACCAAGGAUGUUUUCAUUGAUCAAGAACGAAAGUUAGGGGAUCGAAGAUGAUCAGAUACCAUCGUAGUCUUAACCAUAAACGAUGCCGACUCGGGAUCGGUGGGUGUUCUCUUAAUGACUCCAUCGGCACCGUAUGAGAAAUCAAAGUCUUUGGGUUCCGGGGGGAGUAUGGUCGCAAGGCUGAAACUUAAGGGAAUUGACGGAAGAGCACCACCAGGGGUGGAGCCUGCGGCUUAAUUUG
Molecule: ribosomal RNA, 515 nt
Filed under: uncultured marine eukaryote
Lineage: Eukaryota
Description: bacterial SSU rRNA
Rfam family: Eukaryotic small subunit ribosomal RNA
Source: RNAcentral